GGACAGAGAGGGAUUC
This 16-nucleotide transfer RNA is filed under the name Rigodiadelphus robustus. RNAcentral's name for it is "partial tRNA-Ser". The record is from RNAcentral. Lineage: Eukaryota; Viridiplantae; Streptophyta; Bryopsida; Hypnales; Leskeaceae.